RNAcentral lists this ribosomal RNA (525 nucleotides) under Pseudomonas sp. NZPN7. RNAcentral's name for it is "bacterial SSU rRNA". It matches the Rfam family "Bacterial small subunit ribosomal RNA", at positions 8 to 526 of the family's 1533-position model. RNAcentral also lists the same sequence under 1 other name. Lineage: Bacteria; Pseudomonadati; Pseudomonadota; Gammaproteobacteria; Pseudomonadales; Pseudomonadaceae. The record is from RNAcentral.
AGAGUUUGAUCCUGGCUCAGAUUGAACGCUGGCGGCAGGCCUAACACAUGCAAGUCGAGCGGCAGCACGGGUACUUGUACCUGGUGGCGAGCGGCGGACGGGUGAGUAAUGCCUAGGAAUCUGCCUAGUAGUGGGGGAUAACGUCCGGAAACGGGCGCUAAUACCGCAUACGUCCUACGGGAGAAAGUGGGGGAUCUUCGGACCUCACGCUAUUAGAUGAGCCUAGGUCGGAUUAGCUAGUUGGUGAGGUAAUGGCUCACCAAGGCGACGAUCCGUAACUGGUCUGAGAGGAUGAUCAGUCACACUGGAACUGAGACACGGUCCAGACUCCUACGGGAGGCAGCAGUGGGGAAUAUUGGACAAUGGGCGAAAGCCUGAUCCAGCCAUGCCGCGUGUGUGAAGAAGGUCUUCGGAUUGUAAAGCACUUUAAGUUGGGAGGAAGGGCAGUUACCUAAUACGUGAUUGUUUUGACGUUACCGACAGAAUAAGCACCGGCUAACUCUGUGCCAGCAGCCGCGGUAAUAC